Micromonospora aurantiaca ATCC 27029 is the source of this 69-nucleotide non-coding RNA. It matches the Rfam family "ASpks TB sRNA". The record is from Rfam. Lineage: Bacteria; Bacillati; Actinomycetota; Actinomycetes; Micromonosporales; Micromonosporaceae.
CUUCACGGAGCCGAGCAGCAGCGGCUCGUCGCGCUCCUGCCCGUACGUGGCGAGCAGGGCCUGGGCCUC